This 432-nucleotide unclassified non-coding RNA is filed under the name soil metagenome. RNAcentral describes it as "partial contains 5.8S ribosomal RNA, internal transcribed spacer 2, and large subunit ribosomal RNA". The stretch from base 1 to 120 matches the Rfam family "5.8S ribosomal RNA", at positions 35 to 154 of the family's 154-position model. The record is from RNAcentral.
GAUGAAGAACGCAGCGAAAUGCGAUACGUAAUGUGAAUUGCAGAAUUCAGUGAAUCAUCGAAUCUUUGAACGCAUAUUGCGCUCUCUGGUAUUCCGGAGAGCAUGCUUGUUUGAGUAUCAGUAAACACCUCAACUUCCAUAUCUUUUUUGAAAUGGGAGUUGGACUUGAGUGAUCCCAACGCUUUUCCUCACCGAAAAGUGGCGGGUUACUUGAAAUGCAGGUGCAGCUGGACUUUUCUUUGAGCUAUAAGCAUAUCUAUUUAGUCUGCCUAAAAACAGAUUAUUACCUUUGCUGCAGCUAACAUAAAGGAGAUUAGUUCUUGUGCUGACUGAUGCAGGAUUCACAAAGACAGGCUUCGGCCGACUUUGUAAACUCGAUCUCAAAUCAAGUAAGACUACCCGCUGAACUUAAGCAUAUCAAUAAGCGGAGGA